Long non-coding RNA from Oxyura jamaicensis (ruddy duck), 1568 nucleotides. RefSeq lists it as uncharacterized. The record is from RefSeq and is a predicted model, not a curated record. The transcript is spliced from 2 exons. NCBI's taxonomy places the organism in Eukaryota, Metazoa, Chordata, Aves, Anseriformes, Anatidae.
GCCGCACCAGCGCAGAAUAGAACAGGACAGUCACUUCCCUCAACCGACUAGCAAUGCCGUGCUUGAUGCACCCUGGAGUACGGCUGGCCCUCCUGGCUGCCAGGGCACACUAUCAUUUCAUGAUAAUAGAUGUGUGAUGUAUGAUCUACAUAAUGUGAAGUGUUCCAUGAUCCCCGAAUUCAGUCCCUCUGCCAGCUGUUUGUUCUCUUCAAAGGUGCCUGACUUUCUCUGUAUUUAAUUAAAAUAUUUGAAUUUAUUUAGGUAUAAGUGUUUUUUCAUGAUAUCUUCCUUUUUCUGGGGGGGUGGGGUGGCGGGAAGGGAUACAUGGGGCUUGAGCAGAAAACCAAAAUGCAUUCAUUAGACUUAAUUUCCAUCUGAUUUAUUAUCUUCUCUUAGUAGCUGAGUAAUUAUUUGUGUCUGUGAGAAUCUUGUACAGAGAUAGAAUCAGCUUUUUUCAAACCUUAUGUGGAAGUUAUAUUUUGAUGAUUGCAGAUAUUAAUUCAGGGCACAUAGCAAGAGAACUCCUGGAUAAAAUGCAACUUUUACAUAGCUGACUCUAGUAGCAUAACUACUUCAUUUAAGUGAAAUUAAGGAUACAGAAAUAAUUUCUCAAUGAACUAAAUAAUGUCUUUUUUGUAAAAGAAUAUUAAUUGCAGCUAAACAGGCUUGAGACUUCAAGAAACUAAAUUUAAUGUUUGACUGCAAGCUUCUGUGAUAUGUGAACUGUAGAUUUGACAUGAAAUAGAAGUGUUUUGAUAAAACAAUUACUUUUAUUAUAUUCCAGAAACAUUCUCUAUAGGAUUUGAGCUCAAAACUGGAAUUAUUAUUAGAAAAUUGCAAAUUUAUUCUUUAACUUUGGAGGAUGAAUAUCCAUGAAGAGGGGAAGUUUACACGUAAUCAUGGUGAAAUGCAUCAUUUACCUCUGAAAUGGAAUAUUAGAAAGGAGAGGGUUCUCUGGUGUGAGAGACAUGCAGCCUGCAAUAAACUCCUCCACAAGUAAGAACUAUAACAAACCUUCUUGGUUGCACUGAGUACAAGGAACUUUAUUUGACCUUGCCUUCUUCAACCUCCAGGCAAAGCCAUGGAUGUCUUUAGGAGAUCUAAGCUAGUUCUUUAGAAGAGACUUAUUCCUGCACGUGCUUUUCUUCCCUGACAAGAAGCUGAAACAGCCGACAUGUGGAGCCAUAAUGCACUGAGGCUUCCUGCAGUAGGAGAGGGUACUCACAAUAAUCUAAAGGGAGGAAAAAAGUGUGUGAUAAUAAAAACGUCCUUGACCUGUGUAAGUGGCUGAAGUUCAGAGAAGACUUAUGAUUUUACGUGGGAAGUGAAAAUGGCAAAAACACUGUGAGGAACCUCAGGAGGAAUCAAGGAGACUGAUGGACCAAACGCUGACACUUAAACGUGCACAGUGCAAAUGAGCAGGGAGAAGGUUGUUAGAAUGACGGUUACUUUUACCAUUCUGUUAAAAUCUCCUAAAUUGCUUUAACAUUUACCUCUGGGUAGACCUUCACCUGUGCUGCCUCCCCUUUCUCAUAUAUUCAUUUGACUGAUUAAUUGGUGCUUUUCAA